RNAcentral lists this small RNA (220 nucleotides) under Podarcis lilfordi (Lilford's wall lizard). Lineage: Eukaryota; Metazoa; Chordata; Lepidosauria; Squamata; Lacertidae. The record is from RNAcentral.
UUCCUGAUGUUGAGUCAGAAUCUCCUUUCUUGUAACUUUAAUCCAUUGGUUCAAGUCCUGCCCUGCAGAGCAGGAGAAAACAAGCAUACUCCCUCUUCCCAUGUCAUAGCCCUUAAGAUAUUUGACGGUAGCUAUCAUAUCUCCUCUCAGUCUCUUCUUUUACAGGCUAAACAUACCCAGCUCCUUCAAGCGUUCUUCAAGGCAGGUGUUGAGGGGCUGA